This 253-nucleotide ribosomal RNA is filed under the name uncultured bacterium. RNAcentral describes it as "partial 16S ribosomal RNA". It matches the Rfam family "Bacterial small subunit ribosomal RNA", at positions 524 to 776 of the family's 1533-position model. The record is from RNAcentral.
GACGGAGGGUGCAAGCGUUGUUCGGAAUUACUGGGCGUAAAGGGCGCGUAGGCGGUUUGCUAAGUUCGGUGUGAAAGCCCCUGGCUCAACUGGGGAACGGCGCUGGAAACUGGCAGACUAGAGUACCGGAGAGGAGGGUGGAAUUCCUGGUGUAGCGGUGAAAUGCGCAGAUAUCAGGAGGAACACCGGUGGCGAAGGCGGUUCUCUGGGCAUGUCCUGACGCUGAGGAGCGAAAGUGUGGGGAGCGAACAGG